Long non-coding RNA from Vespula pensylvanica (western yellowjacket), 3416 nucleotides. RefSeq lists it as uncharacterized. The record is from RefSeq and is a predicted model, not a curated record. The transcript is spliced from 2 exons. Lineage: Eukaryota; Metazoa; Arthropoda; Insecta; Hymenoptera; Vespidae.
GUGAUAAUCGCGAUUGUAUCAAUUAUUGAGAAUUACGCUCUUAUGAGGUGCGUUCGUAAAGAAAACGAGAGAAAAAAAGAAAAUUUUAUGAACAUACGUUGGACCAUUUUCACGAUCGGAAACUAUUUAACGAUGCGCCUUUACGACGCGAACCUGUAACAUCAGCUAUUAUAUGGCGUGCCGCUCGUGCGCGCGCGCGUGCUCACGAGUACAGACAUACGUUACAAAAUCGUAAAUUCUUACGACUACUUCGUCUUUUGCAAAACGACUGUGCGCUGCCAGUGAUUUGUCCAUUUCGACGACAACGACGACAUCUUUUAAAUGGGCUCAUAAAAUAAAUAACAAUGUCGAUCGUACCUAUUUUAUUUAUUUUUUUCGUAGUUCCUAUUAUUUACUUCGUGAUUUCUUCAUUGUAAGUUUUAUAGAAAAAAUACUUUUUCUAUUUCUUUUAUAGUCAUAUUUUGAAAUGUCAAACGUUUGAAUAUCAAAACGACACUUAGGCAGCUUAACCCGAUUGGUUUUUGCUCGUAUUUCGUUGUUAGUCGUUGAGUGGACGCUUGCACCUUUAUAAAUCAUCGACUCGGUACUUAAUCGCCUGGAAUUCGGGCUGGACGUUACCACGAGAUACGUAGAGCUUUUGCAUGAAAUCUCGGCAAUUUCGAAUAUUUCGUAAUCCUAUUUUAAUCCCUUAAGCACAGAUUUUCCAUUCCUAUUUUCGUAUAGACGAAUCGCUUGGGCGGUCGAGACACGACGCGUUCUCCUCUUGAAUCUCCUCCCUCUUUAUCCUCUUCCAUCUCUUCUCGUUAUGUCUGCAAGCUCUUACGAAGCUAACACCUGUGACCGCGAUCCGUGGCUCGUAUAUCGGCGAUUUGGGAGAAUUUCUAUUUAGAAGCACGAUAUUAAUAAGCGGCAUCAACGCAUUACCGCUUCACCAGUUAUGCCUCCCUCGUUCAGCCCGUCUCCUUGAAAAUGCUUAAAAGCGUUCGUCUCAAAGCUUGUAAUUGAGUCGAGGAAAAUCAGGAUUCUGGAUGAGAAAUAUACCUAGACGUCUAUAAAAACGUGGCAAUUUGGCGCGUCUCGAAAACACCUGACAAAAUGCAUGAAGAUUCAUUUCGUGAAUAUGCUUAUACAUGUAUCUACAUAUACGUUGAGCAUCAUUGAGCGAAUCACAAGCAAGUAGCGUCCGUAGGAAAUUUAAUGGGCGUGUUUAACGUGGAUAAACCACGAUAUUCGUCUCUUUCUCCAAAUCUUUAGGAUCAUUUCUAGUCGAGGAAUCGAUCAAACGUAAAAUAUGAACCGUACUUUUUUUAAUUUCAAACCGGAAAUUUUUUAAUUAGAAGAUCGAUUCGUGUGACAUUUACGUAAAAAGAAAAGUUAUUAAUUUCGGGUUGGACGAAGUCUCUCGUUCAGUUAAGAGCCGAGUGUACUUGGGUCUCGAGACUUAACCGUAGCCGGUAAGUGCUUCGUCGGGCAGCCCGCAGCCACGGAAAUCGCUUUUAUGCGGUAAGUCGGUCGAUUGCGAAUCAACCGGUUACAAUUAAUGGGAAUUCCCCUUUCGUGCGAGAAAGCGAAUCGAGGUUCUCUCGUCUGAUAAUGAAACUCUGAGCAUGAAUACCCGUCAAAUUCCAAAUGUAAUUAUUUAUUAAUUUGAUUGUAUAUUUUUGAAUGUACCAUUGUCCGUAGAAAUUUCGCAAUUGUAGAGUAUCGCUUCACAAGAUUUUACUUCCAUUUUGUAUUAUAGUAAAAUUACACGCCCGUUGUCGAUAUCAUUGAUCUCGGGAAAGUCGUAAAUCAUAUUUGUUAUUCUUCUUUUUCUUAAAAAAAUAACGUAUUGUUAACUAUUUCCAUGACAGAUCAAUAGUCUAGGAAGAUCACGUUAAUAAAAUCAUUUACGUUUUUCGAACCAACGGAGUGAAGUUAUCAAGCUACUUAUAAUUUAUGCAUCUGAGAAAUGUUCAAGCAUCGGUUAAGUACGUUUAAGUUUGCCACGGGCAAAGUUCGUAAUUUCUUUUGCAAAAGAGUCGAUUACUGCAUUUGCCGAGUAACGGCAAGUUUAGAAUAUCGUCUUUAAUCGCAUCCAUGGAAUUUGGAGAGCUUUUAAACUCAUGCUCGUUUACUCAACAAAACCAUUACUCUAAUCCCAUAGUAAUUUUACCUCGAAGUAUAUCGUAAUUUUGUCUAUUCGAAGAGAUGUCGUUAGACAUUUUUUCUCUUUCUCUUAGAGUAAUGAAAAAAAAAUUAAUUAUUUACCAAACGACUAAUGAACUUUCGAUGUUGCGAUUCAGAGCUUUUAAGCAAUAAUCUCCAUGAGUGUAAUAUAAAAAUAAGUUGGAUACAAAAAUUGAAAUAGUAAACAGAACAAGUGUAUCCGCAUAUAUCAGAAUUAUAAUGUAAUUAUUAUUCCAGAAAAAAGUACAAUUAUAAUCGACGUCAAAAAGGGACUAGUAGAUAGAUGGCAUCAUUUUUUCUGGUAUACAUUUUAAGCAUACCAGUAUUUUCUAUGGAAGUACUAAUUUUAUUCGGAAUACUGGAUGAAAAGUAAAAGUAGUCAUGACGUAUCUAUCGUUCGUAGUAGGUGAUACUAGUAGAAACAUAGUGUGAUAUGCGUCCUAGAAGGGUCAAAUCAACCCUUUCUCUCUCUUCGCUUCUCCUCAACGAAUAAGCCAGAGUUUCUAGUAAAAAUCAUCGAUUCGCACUUUCUCUGUAAAAUUGAACAUCAGCCAAGGAAAUAGAAGAAGAAAAGAAAUGAUGAACAGUAAAGAAGAAUACGGAUGUUACGAGAAAUAGAUGGACGAGCAGAUGUAAGAGAACGAUUAUCUUGCGUCGAGGGUUUCGAAUCUGAUAGUGGUUGUUUCGGAUGGUGCUUUCAGGUUGGUCGGUAGGAACAGAAGGGUGCUUUUAAGAUAUUGACUCUUCCAGAAAAAUCGAAGAGAAGGUGUAAGUGGAAAAAGAGAACAGGGAGACUAUGUACACGAACACUAUAAACGCGUUAUAACCCGUGAAAUUGGACUACCAUGGCGACCGGCUGACGAUAUUUGUUUUCAUUGACCGAUUCGUUAGUCCGAAUAGUUAACCUUAACUCAAUCUCAAAUAACAUUCAGUUGUAUACAGUCGCAGUCUAACUCUGUCCCAAGUCACAUUCAGUCACAUACAGUCACAAAUUUACUCAGUCUCAAGUCACAUUCGGUCGCAUAUACGCCAGUCUCUUUCCUAAAUUGAGACAAUCUCAUUCGGAUAUUUAGUUAUAUUCGGACAUUGAAUCCUAUUCAAGUCAUAUGGUUAGUCAAAUUUCAUUCGCCUAGUCCAUCUGAACAAUUCAUGAAAUUGACAAUUACCAAGAGUCGCAUUCGAGAACUUUAUCAUAACAUUGUACGUACUAAAAAUAAAUUCGUUUGUUUUGUUAUCUGAUAUUUUGA